Molecule: long non-coding RNA, 609 nt
Filed under: Ananas comosus (pineapple)
Lineage: Eukaryota; Viridiplantae; Streptophyta; Magnoliopsida; Poales; Bromeliaceae
Description: long non-coding RNA (ACOM_LNC032363)
Source: RNAcentral
AUUGCGACGUCUCGGCCUGACCAUCCUCACACCAAUAUUGAAUAUGACUCGGCUCAAUCCGACCUCCUUCCACAAAACAGGAUGCUGGUUCUUUUAAAACAAUAAUUCUAUAAAAACUUCAAUUUUAUUGUAGGCACGUGAUAUGAACCUGAAUUAAUAGAAAGAAAAUCAAUUCCUAGGAUCCUGACAUAGCUCAAACUGAAAACCUUCUGCUCUGUCACCAUGUGAAAUAACUGUUGCUCUCCAAAAACUUAAUCCGAUAGAGAACGAUAUUUUUAUAUUUAACAUAAGGCACGCGACACGUUGAUCUUAAAUUUUAAUUAGUUGUAAUUUCUGGUUCGAACUAUAAAGCAUGUGACAUUUUAAUUCUCAAACAAUAUUUAUUUAAAAGGAUUAUAGUAAUAUUCUAUCGGAUGAUGCAACAAUAAUUAAGAUGUUUAUAACUUCGAUAUUAGUAACUCAUCAAUAUUUAUUCAAAGGGAUUGAUUAAUUCUGAUACUUGAUUGUAAUAAUUUGAAAAGUUCAAGAACUAAACUAUAAAAUAGUAAAAUAUCAUCAUCUGAGGUGUUGUUUGAUGAGAAAACAAAAAGAAAAAUAAAGAGAAUAAUA